ACCACAGCUGGUAUCAUGCAGCCGUAAUAAGUUACGGAAAUCAUACUGUGCUGUAAAAUUGAAAUGCUGUAUUUUACCCCUUGAUUUGUUUAUAUUCAAAUCAAGGUAUUAAUGCAGGCACAGAUUU
This 127-nucleotide small nucleolar RNA is filed under the name Bombyx mori (domestic silkworm). Its description in RNAcentral is "Bm_58". The record is from RNAcentral. Lineage: Eukaryota; Metazoa; Arthropoda; Insecta; Lepidoptera; Bombycidae.